GAUGAACGCUGGCGGCGUGCCUAAUACAUGCAAGUCGAGCGAACGGACGAGAAGCUUGCUUCUCUGAUGUUAGCGGCGGACGGGUGAGUAACACGUGGAUAACCUACCUAUAAGACUGGGAUAACUUCGGGAAACCGUAGCUAAUACCGGAUAAUAUUUUGAACCGCAUGGUUCAAAAGUGAAAGACGGUCUUGCUGUCACUUAUAGAUGGAUCCGCGCUGCAUUAGCUAGUUGGUAAGGUAACGGCUUACCAAGGCAACGAUGCAUAGCCGACCUGAGAGGGUGAUCGGCCACACUGGAACUGGGAAACGGUCCAGACUCCUACGGGAGGCAGCAGUAGGGAAUCUUCCGCAAUGGGCGAAAGCCUGACGGAGCAACGCCGCGUGAGUGAUGAAGGUCUUCGGAUCGUAAAACUCUGUUAUUAGGGAAGAACAUAUGUGUAAGUAACUGUGCACAUCUUGACGGUACCUAAUCAGAAAGCCACGGCUAACUACGUG
RNAcentral lists this ribosomal RNA (497 nucleotides) under uncultured bacterium. Its description in RNAcentral is "partial 16S ribosomal RNA". It matches the Rfam family "Bacterial small subunit ribosomal RNA", at positions 28 to 507 of the family's 1533-position model. The record is from RNAcentral.